GAUCCACUUAAGUCAUUAAUGUAUAUAAGAAACAACAAUGGUCCAAGAACUGAACCUUGUGGAACACCACAUGUGAUUGAUUGGUAAUUAGAGGUCUCAUCGCCUAUUUUAACAAAUUGCUUUCUUUUACUUAAAAAAGAACAAAACCAUUUUCCAGCAAUCCCCCUGAUUCCGUAAUAUUCAAGUUUAGCAAGGAGGAUGCCAUGAUCAACAGUAUCAAAGGCUUUUCUUAGGUCCAGAAAAAUACCACAAGCAUAACAUUUAUCCUCAAUAGCCAUUUUAAUUUUAUC
Non-coding RNA from Paramuricea clavata, 290 nucleotides. NCBI's taxonomy places the organism in Eukaryota, Metazoa, Cnidaria, Anthozoa, Malacalcyonacea, Plexauridae. The record is from the annotation of a GenBank genome assembly.